GAUGAACGCUGGCGGCGUGCUUAACACAUGCAAGUCGAACGAUGAAGCCCAGCUUGCUGGGUGGAUUAGUGGCGAACGGGUGAGUAACACGUGAGUAACCUGCCCUUAACUCUGGGAUAAGCCUGGGAAACUGGGACUAAUACCGGAUAGGAGCGUCCACCGCAUGGUGGGUGUUGGAAAGAUUUAUCGGUUUUGGAUGGACUCGCGGCCUAUCAGCUUGUUGGUGAGGUAAUGGCUCACCAAGGCGACGACGGGUGGCCGGCCUGAGAGGGGGACCGGCCACGCUGGGACUGAUACACGGCCCAGACUCCUACGGGAGGCAGCAGUGGGGAAUAUUGCACAAUGGGCGCAAGCCUGAUGCAGCGACGCCGCGUGAGUGGUGACGGCCUUCGGGUUGUAAACCUCUUUCAGUAGGGAAGAAGCGAAAGUGACGGUACCUGCAGAAGAAGCACCGGCUAACUACGUG
RNAcentral lists this ribosomal RNA (466 nucleotides) under uncultured bacterium. RNAcentral describes it as "partial 16S ribosomal RNA". It matches the Rfam family "Bacterial small subunit ribosomal RNA", at positions 28 to 507 of the family's 1533-position model. The record is from RNAcentral.